This 440-nucleotide ribosomal RNA is filed under the name uncultured bacterium. Its description in RNAcentral is "partial 16S ribosomal RNA". It matches the Rfam family "Bacterial small subunit ribosomal RNA", at positions 338 to 795 of the family's 1533-position model. The record is from RNAcentral.
CCUACGGGAGGCAGCAGUGGGGAAUAUUGCACAAUGGGGGAAACCCUGAUGCAGCGACGCCGCGUGAGUGAAGAAGUAUUUCGGUAUGUAAAGCUCUAUCAGCAGGGAAGAAAAUGACGGUACCUGAUUAAGAAGCCCCGGCUAACUACGUGCCAGCAGCCGCGGUAAUACGUAGGGGGCAAGCGUUAUCCGGAUUUACUGGGCGUAAAGCGUGCGUAGGCUGUUUCGUAAGUCGUGUGUGAAAGGCGCGGGCUCAACCCGCGGACGGCACAUGAUACUGCGAGACUAGAGUAAUGGAGGGGGAACCGGAAUUCUCGGUGUAGCAGUGAAAUGCGUAGAUAUCGAGAGGAACACUCGUGGCGAAGGCGGCUUACUGGACUGUAACUGACGUUGAGGCUCGAAAGCGUGGGGAGCAAACAGGAUUAGAUACCCCAGUAGUC